This 85-nucleotide non-coding RNA is filed under the name Salmonella enterica subsp. arizonae serovar 62:z4,z23:-. The record is from RNAcentral. Lineage: Bacteria; Pseudomonadati; Pseudomonadota; Gammaproteobacteria; Enterobacterales; Enterobacteriaceae.
AGUUUAUUACUCAUCUAUUCGGUACGACAUUGCUUACAUUGCUUCCAGUAUUGUUUGCCCGCCUCACCGAGAGCGGGCUUUUUUU